This 468-nucleotide ribosomal RNA is filed under the name uncultured bacterium. RNAcentral describes it as "partial 16S ribosomal RNA". It matches the Rfam family "Bacterial small subunit ribosomal RNA", at positions 28 to 507 of the family's 1533-position model. The record is from RNAcentral.
GACGAACGCUGGCGGCGUGCUUAACACAUGCAAGUCGAACGGAAAGGCCCUGCUUUUGUGGGGUGCUCGAGUGGCGAACGGGUGAGUAACACGUGAGUAACCUGCCCUUGACUUUGGGAUAACUUCAGGAAACUGGGGCUAAUACCGGAUAGGAGCUCCUGCUGCAUGGUGGGGGUUGGAAAGUUUCGGCGGUUGGGGAUGGACUCGCGGCUUAUCAGCUUGUGGGUGGGGUAGUGGCUUACCAAGGCUUUGACGGGUAGCCGGCCUGAGAGGGUGACCGGCCACAUUGGGACUGAGAUACGGCCCAGACUCCUACGGGAGGCAGCAGUGGUGAAUAUUGCACAAUGGGCGGAAGCCUGAUGCAGCAACGCCGCGUGCGGGAUGACGGCCUUCGGGUUGUAAACCGCUUUCGCCUGUGACGAAGCGUGAGUGACGGUAAUGGGUAAAGAAGCACCGGCUAACUACGUG